GACAAGUGGAUAAAGAUUGGUGAUGGCGAAGGGCUCUCGUUGUGGUGGGAACGGGAUGAAGGUGGGGUGGUCGAAAGCGGUGAAAUUAUGAGAAAUUGAGAGACGAGUCACAAGCACAAAAGAAAGGAGGACUAGACCAGACCAGCGAGAGUGAGGGAGUGAGGGAGUGAGGGAGGGAGGGAGGGGUCCAUGAAAUGAAAUCGGCGCCAUCGUCGUCUUUACUCUUUCUGGUGCCACGUGGCUGCUAUUCUUGUUCCUGUGUCAAGUUUGUUAUAAUGGCCAAGGGCAACAACAAGAAGAAAAAGUCUCAGCAAAAUCCAUCUCCUACUCCAAUGGGCUCCGACCCAAGUCCUCCCAGGAUUACAUCAAAUGUCAGGCAGAAUUUACAGCUUUUGAAGUUAUGGAAGGAGUACCAAAAGAGAAAGUCUAGCACACCUAAGCACUCUACCAGUUACCGCAGAAAGAAGGUGCCCAAGGAACAGCUUCCAGAAGACUUAGACCUCUAUCGUGAUCCAACCACCACCCUCUACUAUACAAACCAGGGUUGGGACAUUGCAGUUCCGGUCUUGCUUGUUGAUGGGUAUAACGUAUGCGGUUAUUGGGCGAAGCUGAAGAAGCAUUUUAUCAAUGGGAGACUUGAAAUGGCUCGCCAAAAGUUAAUCGAUGAACUUGUAACUUUCAGCUUGCUACGAGAGGUGAAAGUGGUGGCUGUAUUUGAUGCCAUGAUGUCUGGACUCCCAACACACAAGGAAGAUUUUAAUGGUGUCGAUGUAGUUUACUCAGGUGAAUCUUGUGCUGAUGCGUGGAUUGAGAAAGAGGUGAGGAAUGACUUGAAGCUGAAACCAACUUUAGAAUUGUGCAGUCACUUCAAAAGUGAAAUAAAGCUAUGUUUGUUUACCUGAUUUGGGUCUGCGGUUCUUAUUUAAUUGGUUGCAGCCUUGAGGGAGGAUGGAUGUCCUAAAGUUUGGGUUGUGACUUCUGAUCAUAUUCAGCAGCAUGCAGCACAUGGAGCAGGAGCCUUCAUUUGGAGUUGCAAGGCGUUGGUUUCUGAGAUUAAAGCAUCAGAAAAGGAGUUUGAGAGGAUGCUUCAGGAACACAGGUCUACUUCUUUUCAAGGGAGGUUAUUAAAGCACAAUCUUGAUUCAGAAGUUGUAGAUGCUCUCAAGGAUCUCAGGAGGAAGUUAUCUGAAACUGAAUCAAAGUAGUUGAUCAGGUUUUGUUUCAGAUCAAGAUCUCAAGGAUCUUAGAAGGAAGUUAUCCGAUGCUUGUCCUGUACAUAAGUAUAGGUUGAUGUACUGGCGUCAUCCUUCAGAAAUCAAUCCCUGGCCAUAGAAGUUGUCAAUUUGUACCAUGUUAUAUAAGGCACUCAAAAAUUGUUUGGAUUUGGAUCAUUUGACAGUUGUACCUCAAAAAAUUUGGCAAUAAAAUUUUAGUAACAGAGUUUGUCAGCUUCAA
Prunus avium (sweet cherry) is the source of this 1455-nucleotide non-coding RNA. The record is from RefSeq and is a predicted model, not a curated record. Lineage: Eukaryota; Viridiplantae; Streptophyta; Magnoliopsida; Rosales; Rosaceae.